RNAcentral lists this ribosomal RNA (493 nucleotides) under uncultured bacterium. RNAcentral's name for it is "bacterial SSU rRNA". It matches the Rfam family "Bacterial small subunit ribosomal RNA", at positions 903 to 1397 of the family's 1533-position model. The record is from RNAcentral.
AAAGGAAUUGACGGGGGCCCGCACAAGCGGUGGAGCAUGUGGUUUAAUUCGAAGCUACGCGAAGAACCUUACCAGGUCUUGACAUCUAGCGCCAAUCCUAGAGAUAGGACGUUCCCUUCGGGGACGCUAAGACAGGUGGUGCAUGGUUGUCGUCAGCUCGUGUCGUGAGAUGUUGGGUUAAGUCCCGCAACGAGCGCAACCCUUAUGAUUAGUUGCCAGCAUUUAGUUGGGCACUCUAAUCAGACUGCCGGUGACAAACCGGAGGAAGGUGGGGAUGACGUCAAAUCAGCAUGCCCCUUAUGACCUGGGCUACACACGUGCUACAAUGGCUAGUACAACGAGUUGCGAACCCGCGAGGGUAAGCUAAUCUCUUAAAGCUAGUCUCAGUUCGGAUUGUAGGCUGCAACUCGCCUACAUGAAGUCGGAAUCGCUAGUAAUCGCGGAUCAGCACGCCGCGGUGAAUACGUUCCCGGGCCUUGUACACACCGCCCGU